This 429-nucleotide ribosomal RNA is filed under the name bacterium. RNAcentral's name for it is "partial 16S ribosomal RNA". It matches the Rfam family "Bacterial small subunit ribosomal RNA", at positions 355 to 776 of the family's 1533-position model. The record is from RNAcentral.
UAGGGAAUCUUCCACAAUGGACGCAAGUCUGAUGGAGCAACGCCGCGUGAGUGAAGAAGGUUUUCGGAUCGUAAAGCUCUGUUGUUGGUGAAGAAGGAUAGAGGUAGUAACUGGCCUUUAUUUGACGGUAAUCAACCAGCAAGUCACGGCUAACUACGUGCCAGCAGCCGCGGUAAUACGUAGGUGGCAAGCGUUGUCCGGAUUUAUUGGGCGUAAAGCGAGCGCAGGCGGAAGAAUAAGUCUGAUGUGAAAGCCCUCGGCUUAACCGAGGAACUGCAUCGGAAACUGUUUUUCUUGAGUGCAGAAGAGGAGAGUGGAAUUCCAUGUGUAGCGGUGGAAUGCGUAGAUAUAUGGAAGAACACCAGUGGCGAAGGCGACUCUCUGGUCUGCAACUGACGCUGAGGCUCGAAAGCAUGGGUAGCGAACAGG